Molecule: long non-coding RNA, 817 nt
Organism: Beta vulgaris subsp. vulgaris (sugar beet)
Lineage: Eukaryota; Viridiplantae; Streptophyta; Magnoliopsida; Caryophyllales; Amaranthaceae
Exons: 4
Source: RefSeq, a predicted model, not a curated record
GAAUUAAGGGCUGCGAUUUGGCCAACACUAGUAACAAAACCCAACACUAGGAACAAAAGACGGUUGCGAUUUUAGCGACAAAAAAAAUUGAGAGUACCUCUCUUCACUGAGGAAUUCAUACCUCUCUUCAUCUACGACUGAUUAUUGAUUCUUCAAAAUUGAUUCUUCAAAAUCAGUAAACUCAGCUGUUGGAUAUCAUACUCAGCAGCCUUUUCAACCAACUACAUAUGUGGAACCAGUGCACUAUGUCCCUUCUUAUUAUGUGGUACAUGGAGUCCCUGCAGCGGGCAACAUCUAUCUUAUUCAACAGAACGGCGCUUGUGGAGAGCUUGGAUACCAUGACCUUCGAAAUGCCCAUCAAAGAUACCUUCAUGAUCUAAGGUGAAAAGACGUCUUCAGAAAACAACAUUUUCUUUCCCAGAAAUGGUUUGCUAAACUACAACCAUGGGGAGUAUAGGCUAAAGACAAACAAGCAGGAUAGUGAUUGAAGGUGGCUGCCUGUUAGGAUAGUUCAAUUCAGAACAGAAGCUAUUUUCUACAUGAGAUUUUCAUCAUGUGACUAGGAUUUGACUCGUCUUUUAGACUUUGACUACGAUUAUACUAAAAAAUGACUAAUUAGGAUACAAAUGUAUUAAUUGCAGCCUUGCAGAUAUUGUAGCUAACGUUGAUGGUAUAGGUAUACUUGUGUGUUGUGUAUAAAAAGUCUCCUACUCAACAAGUGAGGGCUGAAUUCUCAGCUUGUGAUGAAAUUGCAGAUUUAACACUUGUGAUAAGGAGGCAUAUGUACUCAAAAUUUGGCUUCUCAUUGUAAGGAAAC